GAGAGAGGAGAAGGUGGAGGUGGAGGUGGAGAAGGAGGAGGAGGUGAAGGUGGAGGAGGAGGUAACUUUAUUCUCUUACAGUCCUCAAAUAAGGCAACCACGAGGUCUGUUUUUUUUCUUUUUAAAGGAGGAGGAGGAGGAGGAGGAACAAAGAAACACAAAGAGAGAACAAACAACAGCAGGCCUGCUGGUCCUAACGAGGCUGUUUGUGAUAAGCUACACUAACUAUCUAAUCAAAGGUGGAAGAUGAAGGACAGCAAAGGCGAAGGCCGUGGUGAGCAAAUCAGGGAAGUAAAGUAACGGAACAGGCCGAGGCAGCAAAACUAUAAUAUAGUCGCCAAGUCAGUCAGUUCGGGGCCUCGCCAUUCACGCCAAUCCCGGGCAGAAUCUUGGCGGUUCAGUCUCCUUCCUUCGCCCUGUCAACUUCCAACUUUCGUCACAUCACUUUCCUUCCUUCCCUCGUUCCUUCCUUCCUUCCCUCGUUUCUUCCUUCCUUCCUUCCUUCCCUCGUUGUUGCUUUCCUUCCUUCCUUCUCUCGUUUCUUCCUUCCUUCCUUCCUUCCCUCGUUGUUGCUUUCCUUCCUUCCUUCCCUCGUUCCUUCCUUUGUCCUGUCAUCUUUCUCCUUCCUCUCUUCCUCCUGUCACCUUCCCCCCUUUAUUUCUCCCUUCCUCUGUCGCCUUCCUUCGGCCUUCGUCCUGCCAUCCUUGAUCCAACAAAAACGGUCUCCGGCGCCUUCACUGUAUUUUCGAUUGAUUUUAUAUAAUCCCGUCUGGAAUUUUAAGAGACUCAUCUUGCGAUCCACCCUCCUCGCCUCGCGGGGCUGGGGAGCGUCAGGGGGCCCAAGGCCUUCCUGGCGAGCGUCGCAGGGCUCAGGGCUCCGGCAGGGCGCCUCGGCUCCCCCGGAGCGUCCACGGAGGUGUCGGAGAUCCCGAGGGUCCGGGGGUUGGGGGGGCGUGAAGUGGCAGCAAGACAUGCAGUUAUUGACCUCUUAUUAGCCAGGCGACGCGUUAAUGACACGUUCCAAUGGAAGGUUCGACGCAUGGGGAGGUACAAUUCCCCUAAGCAAGGCAAGUGUCAUGCCAACUACGAUAAAAAACGAAAAAUCCAAAAAAAAUACAAAAACAAAAAAUCCAAAAAAAAUUGUCUUGUUUUGCUUUGUUUAAAGCGUCUUGUAUGUUGGUAUGGCGGGUCUUCUCUGGGGAGAAGGAGACUAACGCGUUCCAACAUACAAAACCAGGAAAAGACGACAUGGAAACACCGAGAGAAGGAAGGGAAAGAAGGGAACACCAGAAGAAGGAAAAUACAGAGAAGUAACACAAGAAGAAGGAAUAUGAAGUAACACAAGAAGAAGGAAUUUGAAGUAACACAAGAAGAAGGAAUAUGAAGUAACACAAGAAGAAGGAAUAUGAAGUAACACAAGAAGAAGGAAUUUGAAGUAACACAAGAAGAAGGAAUAUGAAGUAACACAAGAAGAAGGAAUAUGAAGUAACACAAGAAGAAGGAAUUUGAAAAGAGUUACACAGAAGAAGGUAUUGAAAAGAGUUACACAGAAGAAGGUAUUGAAAAGAGUAACACAGAAGAAGGUAUUGAAAAGAGUAACACAGAAGAAGGUAUUGAAAAGAGUUACACAGAAGAAGGUAUUGAAAAGAGUAACACAGAAGAAGGUAUUGAAAAGAGUUACACAGAAGAAGGUAUUGAAAAGAGUUACACAGAAGAAGGUAUUGAAAAGAGUUACACAGAAGAAGGUAUUGAAAAGAGUAUAACAAGAAGAAGGAAUUUGAAAAGAGUAACACAAGAAGACGGAAUUUGAAGAGAAAUAACACAAGAAGAAGAAAUGUGAAGUAACACCGGAAGGAAAAUCCAGAGAAGUAACACAAGAAAAAUGAAAAUGGAAAUGAAAAGAAUCAUCCACCUUUCGGCCCAAACCAACAUCACAAAAUUAUGGGCGAGUCUCUUCUGGGAGGAAAGCGGCUCGUUCAGACCCAGGAACACCAGAAAGGAUGAUAGAAACGUCAAGAAAAGGAAAACAAAAAAGUCAUCCACCUUUCGGCCCCUGGGGCCGCAGGGUGGGUGACGGGUGAAUCUCCUCUGGGGAGAAGGAGGCUAACCCACACAGUCAAGAUAGAGGAUAGAGAAAGGAAAUGAAAUCAUCGAGAAAAGAAAAUGAAAUUACAAUAUCAAGAAAAUAACUAAAAAGUCAUCCAGCUUUCGGCCCCUGGGGCCGCAGGGCGGGUGACGGGUGAGUCUUCUGGGGAGGAGGAGGCUCAUCCACACCCAGCAACACCAACAGAAAGAAAAGAAAAGAAAACAUCAAGAGAAAAGAAAAGAAAACAUCAAGAGAAAAGAAAAGAAAACAUCAAGAGAAAGGAAAAGAAAACAUCAAGAGAAAAGAAAAGAAAAGGAAAAGAAAAGAAAAAACAAAGUAAACAAAGCAAAACAAGACAAAACAAAAACAAAACAAAAUAAAACAAAUUAAAACAUAAUAAA
Molecule: long non-coding RNA, 2487 nt
Organism: Eriocheir sinensis (Chinese mitten crab)
Lineage: Eukaryota; Metazoa; Arthropoda; Malacostraca; Decapoda; Varunidae
Exons: 2
Source: RefSeq, a predicted model, not a curated record